Molecule: non-coding RNA, 1458 nt
Organism: Paramuricea clavata
Lineage: Eukaryota; Metazoa; Cnidaria; Anthozoa; Malacalcyonacea; Plexauridae
Source: the annotation of a GenBank genome assembly
AAAUAAUAGCCUAUUUCAAACGCCAGAUAAGGAUAAAUAAAUAAGGAUAUAAACAGGAAAUCCAGUUUUAUGAAGUGGAAGCAUUUGUUAUGAUUCGGAAUUUCCAAUUUCUGUGAUUUCCAAAUGUGUUUUGUGAUUUCCAAAUGUGUUUUGUGAUUCCAAAUGUGUUUUGUGGUUUCCAAAUGUGUUUUGUGAUUCCAAAAGUGUUUUGUGAUUUCUAAAUGUGUUUUGUGAUUCCAAAAGUGUUUUGUGAUUUCUAAAUGUGUUUUGUGAUUCCAAAUGUGUUUUGUGAUUUCUAAAUGUGUUUUGUGAUUUCCAAAUGUGUUUUGUGAUUUCCAAAUGUGUUUUGUGAUUCCAAAUGUGUUUUGUGUUUUCAAACGUGUCAUAAAAAAAGAAAAUUGUGUGUUUUGGGUAAAAAUGUAUCAGAAUAGUGUAAAAAUGAUAAAGAAACGUAAUUUUUGUUUUGCUUUGUUUGUUUUGUGUUUUGCACUUCUGGGCCACCGUAAUUAUAUGUACAUGAAACAACACAUACGGAUUUCAACUUUCAAGGCAAUUUUCUGUUUUUGAAUGUGCUGGCAAAAUGUAUUAAUAUUACUUUGACAUUACAACUCAGAAAUCGUGUUUGUAUUUUGUACUGGCCAUACCUUUCGGCUUUCGCUGAACAUAACUUCGGCCACGUAAUGUGACCUUUAGAAUCGGUUUCCGUGUGGUUUCCAGAGUGGCCAGCAGGACAGCAUUGUUUCGACAAUCAACUUAUAUUUCCGGUUGAAGCUCCCACUAAAAAUUUAGAUAUUCUGAAAUACCGAAAUAAAAGAUGCAAAUCUGUAGAUACAAGCUUGAAAAUAACACUCUGAAUAGCGUUUUGGAUUGUGAUUCGAACAAGACUAUUACGAAAAAAAUAUGUUGAAACUUGAAAGCUAGGGGCCGAAGUUCAGCGAAAGGUUAUGCCUUGGUAAUACAUUGACAUUGACUAAUUGUCAUUGUUUACAUUGAUCGUGAAAAUUGUGUGAAAUGUGGUAUUGCUUGACUCUAAAGAUCGUAAAUCGCUAUAAUGUUCAUGUUGACAUUUUUACUUUUUAUAUAGAAUACUAACACAGUUUGGAUAGUAUUUGAAGAAGAAUACGAGGUAUUUCGUCAUUUAAUCAAAGACAACAAAUAUGAAAACAAUAGUUCGUUUCAUCUCAUGUUUAUGACCAGUAAAUUUAUGUUUCUUUUUAUCUAUUAACAAAAACAGAAAUUUUCAGGGAAAAAUUAUGAAUCUGGCUGCUUUAGUUGUAUUUUUUAUUUAGGAUGGUGUCAAAUUUCUCCUGGCUAUCUGCAAAUAAAAUUUGCGGCUCUUCACAAGGAAAUCUUUAGUAAAAGGCGAAAGAUUUAUAUGUGCAUGCAGGAGAACGACAGUUAGUUCACGAAAAUAUAAAAGGUUUCAGUGUUUGCACACACGGUUUCAUAAUAAUAAAU